Molecule: ribosomal RNA, 462 nt
Filed under: uncultured bacterium
Lineage: Bacteria
Description: partial 16S ribosomal RNA
Rfam family: Bacterial small subunit ribosomal RNA
Source: RNAcentral
CCUACGGGAGGCAGCAGUGAGGAAUAUUGGUCAAUGGACGCAAGUCUGAACCAGCCAAGUAGCGUGCAGGAUGACGGCCCUCCGGGUUGUAAACUGCUUUUAGUUGGGAAUAAAAGGGGGCUCGUGAGCCCUGUAUUGUAUGUAUCAUCAGAAAAAGGACCCGCUAAUUCCGUGCCAGCAGCCGCGGUAAUACGGAAGGUCCGGGCGUUAUCCGGAUUUAUUGGGUUUAAAGGGAGCGUAGGCCGGCUUUUAAGUCAGCUGUGAAAGUCCGCGGCUCAACCGUGGAAUUGCAGUUGAAACUGGAAGCCUUGAGUGCACACAGGGAUGCCGGAAUUCGUGGUGUAGCGGUGAAAUGCUUAGAUAUCAUGAAGAACUCCGAUCGCGAAGGCAGGUGUCCGGGGUGCAACUGACGCUGAGGCUCGAAAGUGCGGGUAUCAAACAGGAUUAGAUACCCUAGUAGUC